RNAcentral lists this small RNA (23 nucleotides) under Arabidopsis thaliana (thale cress). RNAcentral describes it as "snRNA_06217". Lineage: Eukaryota; Viridiplantae; Streptophyta; Magnoliopsida; Brassicales; Brassicaceae. The record is from RNAcentral.
UCCCUCGCGGGUGCACCGCCGAC